GAAGUAGAUCGGACGGUCGCUUCUUGACAUUUGUCGGGAGGAGGAAAGUCCGGACUCCUCAGGGCAGGAUGUCCCCGAUAGUAUCGGGGGUGGGAGCAAUCCCAGGAAAGUGCCACAGAAAAGAAAACUCCCGGCGUAAGCCGAGAAAAGCUGAAACGGUGAGGUAAGAGCUCACCAGCUUUAUCGCAAGGUAGAGGCUUGGUAAACCCCAUCCGGAGCAAGAUCAAGCAGGGAUGGUCGCCCGCCACCGGCUUUAGCCGGAAAUCCCAGGUAGAUCGCUUAGAUAGAUGACCGUCAUAACAGAAUCCGGCUUACUGAUUUACUUCGAAU
RNAcentral lists this RNase P RNA (330 nucleotides) under Actinomycetota bacterium. RNAcentral's name for it is "RNase P RNA component class A". It matches the Rfam family "Bacterial RNase P class A". Rfam says of the family: Ribonuclease P (RNase P) is a ubiquitous endoribonuclease, found in archaea, bacteria and eukarya as well as chloroplasts and mitochondria. Its best characterised activity is the generation of mature 5'-ends of tRNAs by cleaving the 5'-leader elements of precursor-tRNAs. Lineage: Bacteria; Bacillati; Actinomycetota. The record is from RNAcentral.